Molecule: ribosomal RNA, 255 nt
Filed under: uncultured bacterium
Lineage: Bacteria
Description: partial 16S ribosomal RNA
Rfam family: Bacterial small subunit ribosomal RNA
Source: RNAcentral
UACGUAGGUGGCAAGCGUUGUCCGGAUUUACUGGGCGUAAAGAGCGCGCAGGCGGUCGUUCAAGUCGACGUGUGAAAGCCCCCGGCUCAACUGGGGAGGGUCACGCGAUACUGAUCGACUGGAAGGCAGGAGAGGGUAGUGGAAUUCCCGGUGUAGUGGUGAAAUGACGUAGAUAUCGGGAGGAACACCAGUGGCGAAGGCGACUACCUGGCCUGUUCUUGACGCUGAGGCGCGAAAGCUAGGGGAGCAAACGGG